RNAcentral lists this ribosomal RNA (465 nucleotides) under Vreelandella stevensii. Its description in RNAcentral is "partial 16S ribosomal RNA". It matches the Rfam family "Bacterial small subunit ribosomal RNA", at positions 338 to 795 of the family's 1533-position model. Lineage: Bacteria; Pseudomonadati; Pseudomonadota; Gammaproteobacteria; Oceanospirillales; Halomonadaceae. The record is from RNAcentral.
CCUACGGGUGGCAGCAGUGGGGAAUAUUGGACAAUGGGGGGAACCCUGAUCCAGCCAUGCCGCGUGUGUGAAGAAGGCCCUCGGGUUGUAAAGCACUUUCAGUGAGGAAGAACGCCUGGUGGUUAAUACCCAUCAGGAAAGACAUCACUCACAGAAGAAGCACCGGCUAACUCCGUGCCAGCAGCCGCGGUAAUACGGAGGGUGCGAGCGUUAAUCGGAAUUACUGGGCGUAAAGCGCGCGUAGGUGGCUUGAUAAGCCGGUUGUGAAAGCCCCGGGCUCAACCUGGGAACGGCAUCCGGAACUGUCAAGCUAGAGUGCAGGAGAGGAAGGUAGAAUUCCCGGUGUAGCGGUGAAAUGCGUAGAGAUCGGGAGGAAUACCAGUGGCGAAGACGGCCUUCUGGACUGACACUGACACUGAGGUGCGAAAGCGUGGGUAGCAAACAGGAUUAGAUACCCUAGUAGUC